GUCUACGGCCACGCCACCCUGAAAAAGCCCGAUCCCGUCUGAUCUGGGAAGCUAAGCAGGGUUGGGCCUGUUUAGUAUUUGGAUAGGAGACCACCGAGGAAGACCAGGUGCUGUAGGCA
Molecule: ribosomal RNA, 119 nt
Filed under: Pteropus alecto (black flying fox)
Lineage: Eukaryota; Metazoa; Chordata; Mammalia; Chiroptera; Pteropodidae
Source: RNAcentral